UACAGAGGGUGCGAGCGUUAAUCGGAAUUACUGGGCGUAAAGCGUGCGUAGGCGGUUAUUUAAGUCAGAUGUGAAAGCCCCGGGCUCAACCCGGGAAUUGCAUUUGAGACUGAAUAGCUAGGGUCCGGUAGAGGGAAGCGGAAUUUCCGGUGUAGCGGUGAAAUGCGUAGAUAUCAGAAGGAACACCAGUGGCGAAAGCGGCUUCCUGGCCCAGUACCGACGUUCAGGCACGAAAGCGUGGGGAGCAAACAGG
RNAcentral lists this ribosomal RNA (253 nucleotides) under uncultured bacterium. RNAcentral's name for it is "partial 16S ribosomal RNA". It matches the Rfam family "Bacterial small subunit ribosomal RNA", at positions 524 to 776 of the family's 1533-position model. The record is from RNAcentral.